RNAcentral lists this ribosomal RNA (253 nucleotides) under uncultured bacterium. Its description in RNAcentral is "partial 16S ribosomal RNA". It matches the Rfam family "Bacterial small subunit ribosomal RNA", at positions 524 to 776 of the family's 1533-position model. The record is from RNAcentral.
UACAGAGGCCCCGAGCAUUACCCGGAAUCACUGGGCGUAAAGCGUGUGUAGGUGGUCGUAUUAGUCAUCUGUUAAAACCCGGGGCCUAACCCCGGAAGUGCGGGUGAAACGGUACGACUCGAGGGUGUGAGAGGUGCAUAGAACUCUAGGUGUAGGGGUGAAAUCCGUUGAUAUCUAGGGGAAUACCGAAAGCGAAGGCAGUGCACUGGCGCAUUCCUGACACUCAAACACGAAAGCGUGGGUAGCGAACGGG